Molecule: ribosomal RNA, 236 nt
Filed under: Phoronis sp. DS-2013
Lineage: Eukaryota; Metazoa; Phoronida; Phoronidae
Description: partial 28S ribosomal RNA
Rfam family: Eukaryotic large subunit ribosomal RNA
Source: RNAcentral
GCGCGAGUCAUGGGGCUCUACGAAACCUAAAGGCGCAAUGAAAGUGAAGGCCGCUUCCGGUGGCUGAGGCGAGAUCCCGGCCCGCGGGCCGGGCGCAUCGCCGGCCCGUCUCGUCCGCAUCGUCGGUGAGGCGGAGCAAGAGCGUACACGUUGGGACGAGACGGAUGGCGAACUAUGCCUGAGUAGGACGAAGCUAGAGGAAACUCUGGUGGAAGUCCGUAGCGAUUCUGACGUGC